GGAGAGGUGGCCGAGUGGUCGAAGGCGCUCCCCUGCUAAGGGAGUAAGCGGGCAACCGCUUCGAGGGUUCGAAUCCCUUCCUCUCCG
RNAcentral lists this transfer RNA (87 nucleotides) under Martelella mediterranea. It matches the Rfam family "tRNA". Rfam says of the family: Transfer RNA (tRNA) molecules are approximately 80 nucleotides in length. Their secondary structure includes four short double-helical elements and three loops (D, anti-codon, and T loops). The record is from Rfam by way of RNAcentral. Lineage: Bacteria; Pseudomonadati; Pseudomonadota; Alphaproteobacteria; Hyphomicrobiales; Aurantimonadaceae.